CACCACCCCCUGUAACCCAUGGAGCCCGUAAAGAGACAGGAUUGCAAUUCACAGUGGCAGGAGCUGUCAUGUGCAGAGAUGGAGCAAUCCAGAAAGCGCUUUCAAAUCCGUGUCCCCUCCUGACCCCAUCUACUCACGGUCUCUGGCAGCAGCCUGUAAUGCCCUGUGCUUCAGAGAAAACUCCACUUUCUCCAAGAAUAGCAACGUAGGUCGUGGGAAGCAGUGUGCUGGCAUGAGCUGUAUGCCAUGGAGGGCUGAGGCACAGGGAGGAGAAGAUGUGAACCACAAGGCUCUGCCCUGAAUAAA
Molecule: long non-coding RNA, 306 nt
Organism: Phasianus colchicus (ring-necked pheasant)
Lineage: Eukaryota; Metazoa; Chordata; Aves; Galliformes; Phasianidae
Source: RefSeq, a predicted model, not a curated record